AACGCACAUUGCGCCUGCCGGUACUCCGGCAGGCAUGCCUGUUCGAGCGUCAUUUCAACCCUCAGGCCUCAGUUAGCCUGGUGUUGGGGGCGCUGCGGCACUCUGCCGCAGCCCCCUAAAAAGUAGGGGCGGAUCUUCUAAGACUCCGAGCGCAGUAAUUUAACCUCGCUUAGGGUGUCUUCGGAGGACUCCAGCCCUUAAAACCCCAACUCUUUUAGAAGUUUGACCUCGGAUCAGGUAGGAAUACCCGCUGAACUUAA
This 260-nucleotide unclassified non-coding RNA is filed under the name uncultured fungus. RNAcentral's name for it is "sequence contains ITS2". The stretch from base 1 to 52 matches the Rfam family "5.8S ribosomal RNA", at positions 103 to 154 of the family's 154-position model. The record is from RNAcentral. Lineage: Eukaryota; Fungi.